This 21-nucleotide ribosomal RNA is filed under the name Tripodanthus acutifolius. RNAcentral's name for it is "partial 28S ribosomal RNA". The record is from RNAcentral. Lineage: Eukaryota; Viridiplantae; Streptophyta; Magnoliopsida; Santalales; Loranthaceae.
GCGGGGCUACCCGCUGAGUUU